Lampris incognitus (smalleye Pacific opah) is the source of this 2740-nucleotide RNA transcript. It is a transcript of the gene named serine and arginine rich splicing factor 7a, with no coding region annotated. The transcript has 9 exons. NCBI's taxonomy places the organism in Eukaryota, Metazoa, Chordata, Actinopteri, Lampriformes, Lampridae. The record is from RefSeq and is a predicted model, not a curated record.
AAUUUGGUCGGUAAGCUAGUUAGCCCGGCGAUCGGACAUGUGGAUGGGCUCACUAACGCGCGUAAAAAUUAUCGAUUAGCUUGGAAAGCCCGCAGAAGAUCCGCCGCCCGUAGUCCCCCUCAGUACCGCUGGUAGGUUAGUGCCGUUGGUAGGUCGUCGCUGCUGGCUGCGCCGCGGCGGAAGAACCCCUGCUCGGAGCGGAGUUGUGACUCGACGGAACUGCGGAACAAGUAUAGGCGAGAUGUCGUACUACUCAUCCUCCCGGAGUUCGUCCCGGGCCACAGACUGUAAAGUCUACGUUGGUGACUUGGGCAACGGUGCUGCCAAGGGCGAGCUAGAGCGCGCGUUCAGCUACUAUGGCCCGCUGAGAAGCGUCUGGGUGGCCAGGAAUCCACCGGGGUUUGCUUUCGUGGAGUACGAGGAUCCCAGAGAUGCUGAAGAUGCAGUUAAAGGCAUGGAUGGAAAGGUCCUGUGUGGCUCCAGGAUCCGUGUGGAAAUGUCAACGGGACUAUCUAGGAAGGGCCGUGGGCGCCCAAGCAGACGCCAUUUUGAUCCCAACGACCGGUGUUAUCAGUGUGGUGACAGGGGCCACUAUGCCUAUGACUGCUACCGCUUCAGCAAGAGAGGACGACGAAGCAGGUCUCGCUCCCGCUCCCGGUCUCGCUCCAGGUCCAGGUCCCGUGGACGCCGCUAUCGUUCCCGUUCCCGCAGCCGUAGCAAUGGCAGGCGCCACCGGUCUCCAUCUUACUCUAAACGCAGGAGCAGGUCUGGCUCCCAAGCCCGUUCCAAGUCAAGGACUCCAGUGAGAAGUCGUUCCAGGUCUCGGUCUCGGUCAGGCUCUGGGCCCAGAGGGCGCUCCGACUCUAGGUCUCGCUCUCUGUCCCGCUCAGUCAGCCACAAGAGGAACAGAGUGUGGUGGGAGCUGAGCACUGCACCGCAGCUGUUCCCAGGCCCAGGGUCUGCUAGCUGGUGGUGUGUACGUCCUGCGGGAGGGUGACUUAAGCGCUGACCUGAGAUCAGCCUUCGCCUGCAGCUGGUGUUAGAGUGAAAGAGAGAGGGGUCGACCUACCGGCCGAGCCCUCCCCGCAGUGAAUGAGUCGCCGUCUGUUCGACCGACGCACACGCUCAGACUGGAACAGCCCGCGCGCACACACAGUUGUUCUACUAGAGUCACCCAGCCAGCCUUCAGACCUACCAGAGGGCUGACCCACACAGUUCAGAGUUCGACCACAACCUCUUUUAAAACCCCUUAUCUACCAGACCCCCCCUACCUACCUACCUACCUACCCACCUACCUACCUACCUACCUACCUACCAGAGCUCUCCGGCCUCUGUCUUAGCUACUGAAAGUGAGAGAAUGAGAAAGAGGGGGGAGAGAGCUGACGAGGGAUGAGUCUACAAGAGCCUCCCAGCGCAGUGUCUCUCCGAGUUGUAGUCAUCCGUCCUUCAGUCCUUUCAUCCUUCGCUUCUCUGUACUUGUUGUUUCUGCCACUGUCUGCAAAGUCGUUCCAGAUCAGGAAGUCCCAAGAGGAGUCCCACACCUGGAGAUGACUGAGUGAAGAAGAUUACUUGCCCCAGCCCACCCCCAUCCCACCACUCACAAACACACACACACACAUACACACACACCUCCCUGAUGCCGUAGCCAUCCCUGCCUGCCUCUGUAGCCUGAUUUGUUGUCCCUCCCAGCCCCCCCCCCCCCCCCCGGUACUUGUCUGUAUAGUUUCGGCCAUCAGAUUUUGAAUUACACUUGCAUGUGCUGUCUCAGGAUGCUAAUGCAGUCACUGUGGGCGAGUCACUAUAGUGGGCAAGUCACUAUAAUGCAGUCACUAUAGUGGGCAAGUCACUAUAGUGGGCAAUUCACUAUACUGCAGUCACUAUAGUGGGCAAGUCACUAUACUGCAGUCACUAUAGUGGGCAAGUCACUAUAGUGGCAAGAGUCUUUUUCCUACUUAAGAGCUCCAUGGUUGUAUUUGUUGGCCAGUGAGGCAGGGAGUUUUUUAAUAAAGAGUUGGAUAAACAUAUCUUGGCUAAUUUAAUACAAUGCAGAUUACUUUCAACAGUGAUUUGGGAACUUCAGAUGGCAAAUAGCAGUUGUUACCAUUUUUCAGGACGAGACGACCACCGCUUCUAUCGGUCUAGUGUUCCUCUAGGGAAGUUUAAUUGACCCGUUUUUAUUUUAAUCCCACCUUAUUUUUGACGGCCCUGCAUCUUGAUGAACGUUCUUACCUUAAGUCUAAAACUCUUAUGUCGCCUGUCAAAGAUGUAUUUUCCUUUUUGUUCUGGCGGUCUAUUAAACUACACACAUACACAACUGAUUAGAAUUGGUUUUACGUUUUCCUCAUUUGAAAACUGGAUAUUUUUAUUAUUAUUAUACUGGAUGAUUUUGGAGCUUGGGUGUGCAACUUAGUCCAAUCUUGUUUAUCACACUUGCGUAUAAGGGCGGCCAGCCUGCAUGCCUUAUAAAAACUGAUGUCACAUUCCCAGUUCAGAGAUGCUGAUCCGUCUGAUGCUCUAAAACUGCACUGCCCUUUUUACAAAGGUUGUGAGCUCAAUGUCCACUAAUUGGAUUUUCAAUAUGUACAGAACUCUUCAUUUUCAGUUUGUGAUGUUUUUGUUUUUAAAUCUUCAAUGUGGUAAGUUUCAUUUCUGUAAGGGCUGCUGCUUCACUUUGUUCUUUCCCUGGCUUAUGAUGAGAUACAGUGGCUGUUUUAUUUUGGAAUAAAUCUUAGAUUUAAAA